UACGUAGGGGGCAAGCGUUGUCCGGAUUCAUUGGGCGUAAAGAGCGUGUAGGCGGCCCGGUAAGUCCGCUGUGAAAGUCGGGGGCUCAACCCUCGAAUGCCGGUGGAUACUGUCGGGCUAGAGUGCGGAAGAGGCGAGUGGAAUUCCUGGUGUAGCGGUGAAAUGCGCAGAUAUCGGGAGGAACACCUAUGGCGAAGGCAGCUCGCUGGGACGUUACUGACGCUGAGACGCGAAAGCGUGGGGAGCAAACAGG
This 253-nucleotide ribosomal RNA is filed under the name uncultured bacterium. Its description in RNAcentral is "partial 16S ribosomal RNA". It matches the Rfam family "Bacterial small subunit ribosomal RNA", at positions 524 to 776 of the family's 1533-position model. The record is from RNAcentral.